AUUGAACACACACCCAUAUACAUAUAUACACAUUAUUUUGCAUAUACUGUAUAUAUAUAUAGAUAGAUACUAUAUUAUUUUGCAUGCUUCACCCUCUGUCUGUCAUUCCCAUAUAUGUGUAUAUACACAAAUACACAUUGUUUUGCAUAUAUAUAUAUAUAUAUAUAUUCUUGUGCAUGUUUCACCUUCUGUCUGUCUUUCCCAUAUAUAUAUAUAUGUGUGUGUGUGUGUGUGUGUGUGUGUAUAUAUAAUUUUUCAUAAUAUAUAUAUAUAUAUAUAUAUUCUUGUGCAUGUUUCACAUUCUGUCUGUCUUUCCCAUUUAUAUAUAUAUAUAUAUAUAUACACAUACACACACAGCGGAUCAGAGAAAGAGGGACAUAUGCGCACAGGCGCACUAGGGCGGUCCAUGCGUACACUACCGCAGUGGUACAUGCCACAGAAACAAUAGUAGUGGUCCAAUGCAGCAAAACCGGUCUAGGUGAGUGGUAGGAUUGUUCUAGAACUCACUUCCCCUCCCCCCCCCCCCCCACUUUCCUAGGGAAAGCAAAUAUAGGUUUCCGCUCCUUGCCUUUUUCAGACCUAACCUUGUCUUCCAAAGGCGGAUUUCUCGUACAGUAGCCAUGUUGUGGAUGAGUGGCUCCAUAGAAACACAUCCAGACACACACACAGAGAGAAAUAUAGGUCUCGAUAGGAUGUCUCCAAUCCAGUCUUCGCAGUUACCCAUCCAUGGCGCAUUCCAAUUAUUUUUUUUCUUCAUGUAUUAUCGUGAGAUAUACAAUUUCAUAUCUGUGUGACUAUUGUAGCUAUUCAUUCCAUCUGUGCAUUUGCUUCUAUUCGUGCGUAUGUUAAAUACGCAGACAUAUUGGAAAUAAGUAGUAUUUGUACAUAUGUAAGCGGGCAGCUACUUGGAUGGUAUAUAUAAUUAUAUCUAACAAUUAAUUGUAUAUAACAAACAUACAUACGCACACUUUUAAUUCUCCACAUUUAAUUUGGGAACUGAAUAUAUUCGUUUCUAGAGUUAUUCCCUCCCCCUUGAAAGAAGGCCCUUUUCUUAUAAUUUGAAAGAUAAUGGAAUUGCCGAAAACUACCUUUCAGAGGAAACCGUUUCAUUAAAUAUCUCAGAUUUUAUUCUGUGGCAAAAGCAAGAAAGAAUGCCUCGAGCCUCACCCAUUUCUCCUCGAUUAUAUUUUGAAUUAUUUUUUUUUUCAGUCAGUAAUUUUAUCUAUAUGGGAAUGUGGGUAUAUUUUCUGACAUUCUUGAGUCUUCUUUAGGAAAGGAAAUUGGGAUAGGAAUAUAAUAAUAAUAAUAAUAAUAAUAAUAAUAAUAAUAAUAAUAAUAAUAAUCUGAUGGUUAGCCUUCUGGAGAGUUAUGGCUUCAAAUGCAGAGUAUACUUAAAAUAAAAUAAAGGAAUCAAUAUCCCUGCCCAAACUCUCCCCUUCAAGUGCCCAAAUUCUGGAAAAUUCCAUCAUUCGAACUGGAGGGAGCAUAAAAUGGAAGGAUAUAUCUGCGGGUGCCUAAAAUUCCCCCGCAUUUGAUUCGCGUUGUUUAUUUUUGCGUAUUCAAUGGUUCCCAUUAAUUGUACAUUUGUUUUGAUGCCUGGUUUAUGUUGGCGAUAACGGGAAACAGAGAUAUUGUCAUAAAACCACUGAAGUAGGGUUUUAGAAACUCAAAAAUGAAAUGGGACAAAAAUAAUAAUAAUCCCAUACACUCCGGAAACAAUGGGCUGUGGCGUGUUAUUAUUAUUAUUGUUAUUUUUAUUUCCUAUCCUUGUCUUUUUGUAGGGUUUGGGGAUGAUUACAGCGAGAAGUACUUCAAGUGAUUGUGACAUUAAAAUAUGACUCAUGGGCUUUAUUUUGCUAGCCAAGACGUUUUCUCCCAUCCUAUUCCUCCAACUGGUUAUUUUAACUUCAUAUAGUCAACUCAAAUUGUUCAUUAUUGGGUCAAAUUUUAACCAAACUAUUGGUUUUUCCCCCUUUUUUGACAUUCCUAUUAUUUAUUUGUUUGUUUGGGUUGCUGUGAGUUUUCCGGGCUGUAUGGCCAUGUUCCAGAAGCAUUUUCUCCUGAUGUUUCGCUUUCAUCUAUGGCAAGCAUCUUCAGAGGUUGUGAGAAGAGUCAGGAAAAUGGCGUCAGAUUGGCAGACGAUUUUUCAAAAGGUCAGUUUUCUUUAAAAUCCGGUUUACAUCUUCAAGACAUAACCGAGGAGCCUUUCCUUCUGCUUAUAAAAGGAGGAAGGCCUUCUCCACGGAAAGGACGGAUUUUGCCCAGGAACAAAGAACAGAGACCAUUAAUGGAGAAAAAGCAAUGACCAGACAGGAGUUCAGGCGAUUCAGUAAGAUUAUUUUUUAAUCGUUUCUUUUUUAAUCGUUUUCUCUCUACGCAUAGUAAUCACAGAAUUACAAAUAAAAAGGCUUGGCCAACGAUUAAAUUAUUUGCUAUCUAUCAUA
Long non-coding RNA from Anolis carolinensis (green anole), 2444 nucleotides. RefSeq lists it as uncharacterized. The transcript has 2 exons. The record is from RefSeq and is a predicted model, not a curated record. Lineage: Eukaryota; Metazoa; Chordata; Lepidosauria; Squamata; Anolidae.